GUGAUAGCUCAGUCAGUAGAGCAUGAGACUCAUAAUCUCCAGAGUUGUGGGUUUGAGUCUCACGUUGGCCA
Molecule: transfer RNA, 71 nt
Filed under: Podarcis lilfordi (Lilford's wall lizard)
Lineage: Eukaryota; Metazoa; Chordata; Lepidosauria; Squamata; Lacertidae
Description: tRNA.Met
Rfam family: tRNA (bases 5-63)
About the family: Transfer RNA (tRNA) molecules are approximately 80 nucleotides in length. Their secondary structure includes four short double-helical elements and three loops (D, anti-codon, and T loops). Further hydrogen bonds mediate the characteristic L-shaped molecular structure. tRNAs have two regions of fundamental functional importance: the anti-codon, which is responsible for specific mRNA codon recognition, and the 3' end, to which the tRNAs corresponding amino acid is attached (by aminoacyl-tRNA synthetases). tRNAs cope with the degeneracy of the genetic code in two manners: having more than one tRNA (with a specific anti-codon) for a particular amino acid; and 'wobble' base-pairing, i.e. permitting non-standard base-pairing at the 3rd anti-codon position.
Source: RNAcentral